Molecule: ribosomal RNA, 440 nt
Filed under: uncultured Roseomonas sp.
Lineage: Bacteria; Pseudomonadati; Pseudomonadota; Alphaproteobacteria; Acetobacterales; Roseomonadaceae
Description: bacterial SSU rRNA
Rfam family: Bacterial small subunit ribosomal RNA
Source: RNAcentral
CCUACGGGUGGCAGCAGUGGGGAAUAUUGGACAAUGGGCGCAAGCCUGAUCCAGCAAUUCCGCGUGGGUGAAGAAGGUCUUCGGAUUGUAAAGCCCUUUCGACAGGGACGAUGAUGACGGUACCUGUAGAAGAAGCCCCGGCUAACUUCGUGCCAGCAGCCGCGGUAAUACGAAGGGGGCUAGCGUUGCUCGGAAUUACUGGGCGUAAAGGGCGCGUAGGCGGCUCGGUCAGUCAGGCGUGAAAUUCCUGGGCUUAACCUGGGGGCUGCGUUUGAUACUGCUGGGCUUGAGGAUGGAAGAGGGUCGUGGAAUUCCCAGUGUAGAGGUGAAAUUCGUAGAUAUUGGGAAGAACACCGGUGGCGAAGGCGGCGACCUGGUCCAUUACUGACGCUGAGGCGCGACAGCGUGGGGAGCAAACAGGAUUAGAUACCCUUGUAGUC